GAUUCGAUAUUGUAGUGGUUAUUACGUUCGCCUCACACGCAAAAGGUCCCCAAUUCGAAACUGGGUGGAAACA
Molecule: transfer RNA, 73 nt
Filed under: Alosa alosa (allis shad)
Lineage: Eukaryota; Metazoa; Chordata; Actinopteri; Clupeiformes; Clupeidae
Description: tRNA-OTHER
Source: RNAcentral